This 468-nucleotide ribosomal RNA is filed under the name uncultured bacterium. Its description in RNAcentral is "partial 16S ribosomal RNA". It matches the Rfam family "Bacterial small subunit ribosomal RNA", at positions 28 to 507 of the family's 1533-position model. The record is from RNAcentral.
GACGAACGCUGGCGGCGUGCUUAACACAUACAAGUCGAACGGAAAGGCCCUGCUUUUGUGGGGUGCUCGAGUGGCGAACGGGUGAGUAACACGUGAGUAACCUGCCCUUGACUUUGGGAUAACUUCAGGAAACUGGGGCUAAUACCGGAUAGGAGCUCCUGCUGCAUGGUGGGGGUUGGAAAGUUUCGGCGGUCGGGGAUGGACUCGCGGCUUAUCAGCUUGUUGGUGGGGUAGUGGCUUACCAAGGCUUUGACGGGUAGCCGGCCUGAGAGGGUGACCGGCCACAUUGGGACUGAGAUACGGCCCAGACUCCUACGGGAGGCAGCAGUGGGGAAUAUUGCACAAUGGGCGGAAGCCUGAUGCAGCAACGCCGCGUGCGGGAUGACGGCCUUCGGGUUGUAAACCGCUUUCGCCUGUGACGAAGCGUGAGUGACGGUAAUGGGUAAAGAAGCACCGGCUAACUACGUG